GAGGAACAGAUUCGCGAGGGUCAGCUAGAGCGUCAGAAAUUAGAAGGCAUUCGUAAGAGCAUCGAUAAAAUAAUGCAACGCCAAAGUACAGAAGAGGAACUGAUCAGAAAAGAUGAAG
Long non-coding RNA from Leucoraja erinaceus (little skate), 118 nucleotides. RefSeq lists it as uncharacterized. The transcript is spliced from 4 exons. NCBI's taxonomy places the organism in Eukaryota, Metazoa, Chordata, Chondrichthyes, Rajiformes, Rajidae. The record is from RefSeq and is a predicted model, not a curated record.